RNAcentral lists this transfer RNA (66 nucleotides) under Empis caudatula. Its description in RNAcentral is "tRNA-Leu". The record is from RNAcentral. Lineage: Eukaryota; Metazoa; Arthropoda; Insecta; Diptera; Empididae.
UCUAAUAUGGCAGAUUAGUGCAAUGGAUUUAAGCCCCAUAUAUAAAGUACCUUACUUUUAUUAGAA